RNAcentral lists this ribosomal RNA (261 nucleotides) under uncultured archaeon. Its description in RNAcentral is "partial 16S ribosomal RNA". It matches the Rfam family "Archaeal small subunit ribosomal RNA", at positions 748 to 1009 of the family's 1478-position model. The record is from RNAcentral.
CAGCCGUAAACAAUGUGCGUUAGGUGUGUCGGUAACCACGCGUUACUGAUGCGCCGAAGAGAAAUCGUGAAACGCACCACCUGGGAAGUACGGUCGCAAGGCUGAAACUUAAAGGAAUUGGCGGGGGAGCACCACAACAGGUGGAGCCUGCGGUUUAAUUGGAUUCAACGCCGGACAUCUCACCGGAUAAGACAGCAAUAUGUAGGUCAAGCUAAAGACUUUACCAGAAUCGCUGAGAGGUGGUGCAUGGCGUAGUCGUGU